RNAcentral lists this ribosomal RNA (441 nucleotides) under uncultured bacterium. Its description in RNAcentral is "bacterial SSU rRNA". It matches the Rfam family "Bacterial small subunit ribosomal RNA", at positions 958 to 1398 of the family's 1533-position model. The record is from RNAcentral.
AACGCGAAGAACCUUACCUGGGCUCGAACGGCUCACGAACCUCCUUGGAAACAGGGAUUUCCCGCAAGGGACGGGAGUCGAGGUGCUGCAUGGCUGUCGUCAGCUCGUGUCGUGAGAUGUUGGGUUAAGUCCCGCAACGAGCGCAACCCUUGUCCUGUGUUGCCAUGCCGAAAGGCGGAACUCGCAGGAGACCGCCAGCGAUAAGCUGGAGGAAGGUGGGGAUGACGUCAAGUCCUCAUGGCCUUUAUGUCCAGGGCUACACACGUGCUACAAUGGCCGGUACAAUGCGCUGCUAAGUCGCAAGACGGAGCCAAUCGCAAAAAACCGGUCUCAGUUCGGAUUGCAGGCUGCAACUCGCCUGCAUGAAGCUGGAAUCGCUAGUAAUGGCAUAUCAGAACGAUGCCGUGAAUACGUUCCCGGGCCUUGUACACACCGUAGUAC